GAUUGGUUAAUUAUAGUGGUUUGUUUUAAGAAAUCGUUAUGGACCUUAGUUCCGUUGCUUAGAAACCCUACUUUGAUCAAAGUUCUGGUUAAUGGAUUAUGUGAGAUCAACCAAUGAUUGUUUUAACAUAAGAAUAUUAAUAAGGUGGUAUGAUUAAAAGACCAAUCAUUGAAAAGGAAUUAACAUAGAAUGUACUUUUGUGUAAUCUAAUAUAUGAUGGCAAGUAUCGUACUGCGCAGAAUCACCUAAGAGAGGUCAAGAAGCGGACAAGUGAGGAAGACUGUGGAAGACCACCAGAGGGCUUCUGAAGACCACCAGAGACCUUCAAUGCGCUUGCGUAAAGGACAUUUACAUAUGUUAAUAGUUUCCCAGAAAACUAAUGAUUAUGUAUAACAUUUCUCGGAAAUCUAGUGAAUAUGUAUAACAGGAGUUUUAUUCCGGAUUUUGGCAACAGUUUUGGCACCCCAGAUGGGACCUUGCGAGUGAGACUGGACGAGAUCGAGUGUUGAUCGAACUCCGGCCGGCACCGAGGGAUUCUCGGGGGGAACCAUCGCUCUCGACUCACAAAGCUCCUCGCAACGUUCCCUG
Harpia harpyja (harpy eagle) is the source of this 588-nucleotide long non-coding RNA. RefSeq lists it as uncharacterized. NCBI's taxonomy places the organism in Eukaryota, Metazoa, Chordata, Aves, Accipitriformes, Accipitridae. The transcript is spliced from 2 exons. The record is from RefSeq and is a predicted model, not a curated record.